Molecule: long non-coding RNA, 1682 nt
Organism: Zalophus californianus (California sea lion)
Lineage: Eukaryota; Metazoa; Chordata; Mammalia; Carnivora; Otariidae
Exons: 4
Source: RefSeq, a predicted model, not a curated record
UCUACAUGGUACUGCCCCCACUGAAGAUGGAAUUCAACAUAAAAACUAUCUUGGGCUCCACCAAAGACAUCACUGAAGCACCAAAAGGCCUCCAGGAUGUAGCAUCUCAGGAUAUACUGAGGGUUAUAGUGUAUUCUGCAGAAUUGGGUUUGAAAAAUGAAGAAGGUAGAUGGAGGUUAGAGUAAAUUUCUCUCCUACUGAAGGUUUCUUGAACCCGUGGCCAUCAGCCCAUUCACUGAAUGCUGCAUGUCCUUGAAGCACUGUUGACUUGCUUCUUGCUGCAUGAGGACUCAUCAGAGAAAUACUGCUUCAUGACAUCCCGAGACUCUGGCCCCCAAACUUCAGUGUCCAAGCUCGUGGGAAAGACGAUGCAUUUUGCUAGAGGAGAAGGUUACCUGGGCCUGGAACCCAAACACGUUCCCAGAAGUCCUUUGACAUCUCCCUACCAAAUCCAUGGUCACCGUCUUGCAAAAUGGUGGUGCUCACGUUCAUAUUCUCACUGUGGAUCUCAACUUUUUUCAUUGUGCUGACUUCCUUUGCUGUGGUGGAGCUUUGCAUGGUCUGGGAGGAUAAGGGACUCAGCAUUUUCGCAUCAGUUAGUAGAGACUCUUCCUCCUUGCCUUCAGUUCAUCAAAUCACUAACCAACGAGCAGCAUCACACGGAGAGCCCCAAGCAAAGGUCUCAGGUGGCAGUCCCUGGGAUGUUCUAGCUUUUGUGUUCCUGAGACUUUGCAAUUAGUUUGUAUCCUUUGCCUUGAUGACCAGAGGGUCCAAAAUCAUAACUUCAGAGUGCAAUGAAAGAAAAUAAUAUUUUGUCCGACUGCAGCAAAUACAGCCUCAAAUUUAUUCCACUGAUUAUUCUUCAAACCAGAAAAGAUGCGUGUCAACAUAGAAAUGGUCUUUGUUAAUGGGGAACCAACUCCAUGACUGCAUACUCUUGAUUCUCAGUCACUGAAGCCAGUUUCCUAUUUGUGGGACAAGGAUGUCUCGCACAAAGCUCUCUCCUGUAAGAUAAUAGCAGCUAAUACCUUAGUACCUACAACUGGAAGGCUUGGUAUGAAAGUUUCUACGUCUCUUAGAUGAGGGACAGCCUGUGGUCUCCACGAUGGGAUCCAGUUCUUUCUGCCCAUUCGUGGAGUGACUUGGAGAACAGGAAGCUGGUUUGCUGAAGGACCACUGGGCAGAGAGCCAACUGCAGGUGCUGAUGCCCAGAGGGUCAGUGCAAGAUGUGAGUUGAAGUUGGUAGAGGCAUGACAGCUUGGAUCCCUGAAUGACCGUGUGGAGCGGAGGUUUCCGCUGCCCCUCAACACAAGCUCUACACUGUGCACGGAAGUGACCAUGUCUGAGCCACCACGUUGGAUCUGUUUGUAGAUGCAGCUUACUCUACCUUGACGCACUACCUCUGGUAUUCACAAUUCUGACUACGUGUUGCUUGAUUCUCAAGUGGAUUUUUGAGCAGCCAUCAAAUCAUGUCUGAGGUCUGUCUACUGAGGCGAAGUCACAUAAAGCAGCGCUGAAACUAAUGAGUCUCUGGAAUGACUUUGACAUCUACCAUUUGAACCUGUCUCCAGUGGCAAUCCAAAAGAGCAUGGUUGAUCUUCAUCAAAAACAGUGAUUUUGAUUCUCCUAUUCAACACAUCGCUUGUUCUUUGAAGAACCAAAUCAAAGAUAUUUAAACAAAU